RNAcentral lists this long non-coding RNA (1149 nucleotides) under Olea europaea subsp. europaea. Lineage: Eukaryota; Viridiplantae; Streptophyta; Magnoliopsida; Lamiales; Oleaceae. The record is from RNAcentral.
CCUAACUAAGUUUUUAAUAUAUUUGGGACAUGAAGCAUGAAGUGACGUGAUCACAAUACAAUAGUAUAAAAUUCAUGUGACGUUAUAAAAUAUUGAGUUGAAAAUUGUUGAAGUCGAUUGAAAAUUGGGUGCCAAUCGGGUAAGGAAUCGAAUGAAUGGUUAAGGAAUUAACUCAAUAAAGUAUUUUGGGAUUCUAUGGAAAUUAAAUGAGGUUGCAAACACACUAAGAUAGGUCAGAUACACUUGAUUUUCUACUACAAUGAUGGGUGUAAAAUCAGAUUUUUUCUACAAAACCGCCUCAUGCUUGAUGUUACUUGUCCUUUUAUAGCCAAUUUCUUCAUUCCUAAGCCUUAUGCACGACUCAAGCUCCUCAAGUACUUUAUAUAUAUCUCCUAUAUAAGAUAUUAACUCCUUCAACUCAUUCCCAAUUAAUUCCAAGUGAAAAAGAAAGGAAAAGAACCAAAGAGAAAUAGAAAACAGAAAGCUGGAAUUGGAAGUCUGAGAAGCUGAGUUAGUCCACUGUUUUGAGGUUAAUCUUUAUCGUUUUUAAGGGUUUUACAACCGUUUGAACCUCUGGACCUGAUUGAGAUCAUUUUUUGGGAUUUUGAUGAUUUAAUGAAGACAAAACAGGGAUAAUUGGUUGCAAGAUCUUGAGUUAACUCAAUAUGGACAGAAUUAAUAGUUGUUGGAUUUUUGUAAUAUAAACUUGAAUCUUAUUUUAUACUUUGAAGGGAACGUAUAUGUAUCAGUUUGAAUGAUUUCAAAUAAGGUUUAUGCGUAUGAAAUAAGUUUUAAUAGGAUAGAAAUUGAUUUGUGACAUGAUAAGUAAAAGAAACCAAAGACAGUCACCAAAAGCUACCUGAUUCAAUGGCAUAACUUGAUGCUGAAAAUCCUAUACUUAUGGUGAAUUCAUGACAUGGUUAUAUUCAUAUGAAUGUUAUAUAUGUGUUUUAAAAGAUUGGGAAUGAAUGGAUGUAGUUCAGGGUGUGAAAAGAUAGACGAAAUGGGACAUGGCAGCAACUAAAACUCAAAAACAGAUUCUGACCAAUUUGCAUUUUGCAUAACUUCAACCUUUAUAUGUGCACUAAUCAUCUCUAAGGCUCAGAAAAGUAAUUUUAUUAAGUGUUAGAUUGUUGAAGACAAUCAGAU